This is a long non-coding RNA of Gallus gallus (chicken), 1435 nucleotides long. The record is from Ensembl. NCBI's taxonomy places the organism in Eukaryota, Metazoa, Chordata, Aves, Galliformes, Phasianidae.
ACCACAACCUCCUUUCAAGUCGCUGUGAACAGCGAUGAGGUCUCCCCUUAUUUUUGUAUUGCUUAUUUUUUUAUUCCUUUUAAUUCUUCCACAGCUUAUUGAAGCAGCCACCCCAGGGAGAGCAUGAUUAGUGAAGAGUAUGUGGGAUGGAACUUCGGAGCACACUGAAGACCAAACUGGAGAACAGCUGGAGAGAUGCACAAGGCCCUUUUUCACUUCCGUUUCAUUUUUGGAAGAUGUACAUGAAGACAUACGGCAUUCAAAUGAACACGGUCCCACUCCUCCAAGGACUGUGGGAAAGGUCUGCAGAGCUGAUCUUCAAACAGCAGCUCCUGCUGCUAGUGGGACGGCCUUGAGUAGUUCCCACGUGCGUGUUGCUGGAGUGAGCUGGCCCCAAGUGACAGUCUCCCCAGAGAGAAGCCAGUGGACUUCUUCGAAAAGCUUGAGCUGCAUGUUUCGAUUUGUACAUCUCUGGCCAGAGUGAGAGGAGGGUGACAGUACAGGAAAGUGUUACCCAGGGAGGUUGUAGAGUCUCCUCCUCUGAAGAUAUUCAGAACCCACCUGGAUGCUUCCCUGUACAACCUACUGUGGGGAACCUGCUUUAGUUGGACUGGAUGAUCUCCAUAGGUCCCUUCCAACCUCUAUGGUUAUGUGAUUCUGUGAUUAGUUCCAGCUCAUGUUCUAUAGCACUCCUACAGCUUCCUUCUCAGCUGCAGAUCUCCUCCCAGCCCCUAGAAGCAGAUCAAAAUGCUCACACCUGUCAAUAGCACAACUGCAGGUGUAGGAGGGGAACAGUCAUUGUCUGCCAAAGUUAUAGCUGUCCACGUCACUCAAUACAACUUCUUUGAGAAGGGGCUGCCUUCAAAAUCAGAUUGAGUCAAUAAGUCUCCAAAAAGAGAGAGCUGCUCAUGCUGUUACUGUGAAGUAUUCAUCAAGCAGGACCUCAGUUGUUUUAGGACCCAACUCUCUCCCAAGUUGCACUGCAGGCCUGUCAUGGCAUGGGAGAUACAACUCUGAAUGGAAAUCUGAGCAGAAACACUUUAUUCUGUGGCAAGUUUUAGACUUGGAAAGUAAUGACAGAGUUGAUGUCCAAACCUGCGUCAGCUACCUGUAGCUGCUGUUGAAUUCAGUGAGAAGGGGAACUGCCUUCCUCUUCAAAUUGCACCAUGAUCACAGAAACCUAGAACCAUUGAAUCACUAAGGCUGGAAUAGACCUCCAAGAUCAUCUACUCCAAACAUCUACCCACCACCAAUAUUUCCCCAAGAUAAAAUGUCCCUAAGUAUAUCAUAUAAACGUUUCUUGAACACGGGGAUGCUUGGAAUACAGACUCCUUGAAUGACCUGAGAAGACACUGACCAGCCUCUUGGAGAAUGUCCAUUUGCUCUGUGAGCUAUGACCUGUACAAAAAUUGAAAUAAAUGGCUUACUCAAGCCA